UAAGUAUUUCACCUUGGGUAGCUUUGGUUUUGGAGAUAUGAGGAGAAUUGCAGAAAUGGAAAAAAAUGGAUUUUUGCUUUGAUGUCCGGUUUCCGGCAAUUUCCGGCCGGAUUCUUUGGGGGUUUUGGUUGUUGGGGAAGUACUGAACGUAUUCCUAACCUUGUUGCUGCUCGUUUUGAUCGGUGGAAGAAGAUUUGAAGGUGUUUGAGACUGUGAACAGUACCGUGAACAGUAUAGGAACUGUUAGUUGUAGUCUAUGAAUUGUUGUGUUAGAUUUAAGGUUGUUGGUUAAUGAGUUUCCUUGGAGUUUGAUGUUGGUUGUGGUUCUAAGAGUGUUGAGAGGUUGA
This 347-nucleotide long non-coding RNA is filed under the name Rosa chinensis. RNAcentral's name for it is "sRNA RchiOBHm_Chr7g0220611". Lineage: Eukaryota; Viridiplantae; Streptophyta; Magnoliopsida; Rosales; Rosaceae. The record is from RNAcentral.